This 253-nucleotide ribosomal RNA is filed under the name uncultured bacterium. Its description in RNAcentral is "partial 16S ribosomal RNA". It matches the Rfam family "Bacterial small subunit ribosomal RNA", at positions 524 to 776 of the family's 1533-position model. The record is from RNAcentral.
UACGUAGGGGGCAAGCGUUGUCCGGAAUCAUUGGGCGUAAAGAGCGUGUAGGCGGCCCGGUAAGUCCGCUGUGAAAGUCGGGGGCUCAACCCUCGAAUGCCGGCGGAUACUGUCGGGCUAGAGUCCGGAAGAGGCGAGUGGAAUUCCUGGUGUAGCGGUGAAAUGCGCAGAUAUCAGGAAGAACACCUAUGGCGAAGGCAGCUCUCUGGGACGGUACUGACGCUGAGACGCGAAAGCGUGGGGAGCGAACAGG